CCUCUUUGGUUAUUAAUUAUUUAUAUAACAGUUUUAUAUGCAUACAUAUUUUUUAUAUUAUUUUUAUUAUUAAUUUUCUUCAUGUAAAAAAAGGUAUAAUAAUUAUUAUUCUCUUCUUAAUGUAAGCGAUCUUUAUUUUGCGAUGAACAUCAUUUAAGAUACUCGAAUUAGCUUAAAUGAUGUAUUAAGUAGUGUAGAGGCUGUAUAGAAAGCAAUUAAUCUUAGGGAAGUAAUUUAAUUAAGGCGAGGAUGACACGCGGUUAAUUUUACCCUUUGUGUGUAAUUGCCUAAGUUGGCAAGAUUAUCCUGCGAGCACGAAAAUUGCUUGCAUCUCAUAACUUGCGAUUAAUACAACAAUAAUCCUAUGCAAGGAUUACACCAUAAUAAUGUACAGCGCAUAAUACAAAAAUAAAAGCUUUUCAAUAAAAAUUUGUCGCGAUAAAGUAGUCGUUACCGAAUUACAUAUAUAAAUACAUUACAUAAUAAAAACCUUUCAUAGUUUAGUUACUAUAGAAAAUGUUCAAUUUUUAAGCAACCAAAAAUUGCCUAAAAAUGUAUAUUACAUAAUUUAAGUUGUAUAUGUCAAUAAUUUAGUUUUAAGCAUAUAGAUAACAUAAAAAUAUAUUCAUUAAAAUUUGAAAUAAAGCGAGGCUUGUCAUAAAUGUUAAAAAGGAAAAGAUAUUUAUCAAAAAUGAUCGACACGAAUAAUUAAUAUUCUACUGUCGCUGUUUAUCUGCAAUCGAUCUUUUUUUUUACUUUUCCCAAUUAGUGAGGGACGUAGAUGCAUUCCUCUUUGUUUCUCUCUCGUCAGAGACAUCCACGAUAAAAGUCGUCAAUAUUUUCCAUGACGGCAACUACCGCGAUGUAAUGGAUACGAUACCGAAUGUCCGAAUGUAGUCGGACGCGUACGUACAUUCGUACACGCAUCUGCCAACGCGUGCAAACAACCAAUGCGGUGCGAUACGUCAAAGCACCGAGCGAGUUAUAAAUUCGAAUUGCGCUGCAUGACAAAACGGGCCCGGCUCUAUUUGCAGAUUGAAUUGCCGAUAUUAACGAAAAAUUCAUUAAACACAUGCGAUUUAUAGAUUAUAUAUGUGCGCGCAUUAAUAGCGGGGCCGCGGGCGCCCCUCGCAAUUUAGCUUUCGAAAUUUUGGAUGAGAGAUAAAGGCUUCCUCCGGUCUGCCCAUUUCAAUUGUUUAAUCUUUAUUGCCGCGGUACGUUUGAUCGUAAAUAUUGUUAUUUAAUGCGAGACCGAUGGCGCCAUAUUGAUCAAUAUAAAGGAUUUAUCGGUCGCUAUAAAAUAGAUCUUACCCUAUCGUUAUUCACGAAAAUGAAUAUUGACGGGGCUGAAAUUUAUAAUCGCGUAAUAUCCUGCUUUAACCAUGCCUCUACUUUAAUUUGUGUUGCAGCGAAUCAAUUUUGUUAUAUUACUGUUUGUACUGUAGAUGAUAAACACGAUGAACGCACCGGUGCAGCAACGAUGCGUUAAGAGAUCGAGGCUAUGAUGUUCUCAAUAAUCUUUUUAUCGGGCAACUCCUUUCGAUACUCCUUUCCCUUUGAUACACAUCUACAAAAUAUAAUACAAAGGGUAUCAUCCGAAGGCUAGGAAAUUGCUGAUACAUUUUAAUGACUUCAUCAACGAGCGUAGAAUUUUGAAAGAGUAGCGAUCAAUAUACCGAGAAUGAGUUUCUACUAGAUUCUACGGACCUCUCAAAUCGUCUCUCUGUUACAGAGCGAGACGUCAGAGGAUGAAUGAGGACCUGGGACUCAGCCGAGCAUAAUGGGAUAAGAUCUCCUACGGAUAAGGUGUUUCUCUUCGCCGUACGUUAUAUACCGCAAUCAGUUACAGUUCGUCGGUUGGUAAUUACACGGGGCUCGCCUUGUCCGGGAGCCGGGAUCUCGCGGAACAUGUGGCCUCCUUUUUUUUUCUUCACCGAGGAAACAGUUUUCCACGGGUUUCCGAGAAGCAACGGGCGGCCGUCACUUCCGGCAGCCCGGCACAAUGCAACGGCGGACAUUGUCACGUGACGGGUAAACAUCCAUUACCUCGGACGGAACGAAGCGAUUCUGACCAUUUGGCCAUUUCAAAGAAGAGGCAAAUCGAUCCGGCGACCUUCGGCCGCCCAGGGAACAAGGAAAAAGGUGGACUCCGGUCGGUCCCCCGUGACUGGUCGCUUCUUCGAUAGAUAUCUGGCGGAGAUAUUACGAUCUCUCGAUUGGAUUCGAUCGACCAUUUCACGAGCCUCCUCUCCGGCCUGGAUUAGGGAGGAGAGGAUGAUUUAAGGUUAAUUUCAAACGGAUUAUCCUUCCUUCGUUUCUCUAGAACGCGCGAUUCUUCAUGGUCUUAUUGGUGCAGUCGAGACGCGGCGCGACUCAAAUUGACCCAUCGCGAACGCUAUACGAAAUGGAACAAAACGGCAUCGUGGCAGCUCGAUUGGCAACUAAUCGAAAGAGUAAACGAGCGAAAGAGUAACACUCUCAAAAGAAACAUUCCCAAGGCACGAUCGUCUCUCUUACGUAAUAUUGAACUCUGUAAUCUUUCUAGAAGCCGAAUCGCAUUACGUGAUAUUCGCUCGUGAUAUUUUAUCACGUAUAAUUAAUAUUUAUUAUUAAUCCAAUAUUCUAAUAUAAUUCAGAGUUCUGCAGAUAUUCCGGAUAGAGUACUCUCGUACUAAAACAUAGCACUGAGCCGUUUAAUCUUAAUGUCAAUAAGAUAAGUUACACGAUGUUACGUACCGAUGUCCAUUUACCCCCUUCGAUUGAGAAGCGUGUUUAGUAACUAUCGGUUGCGGAAACAUGUAAAUUCACGAGCGCGCGGUUGUACGACGCGGGGAUCUGUUAUUACACACCCGGGAAAUUUCAUUUAGCGUGACAUUUGUCGCGUGAUUAUGCCACGUAAUUAGCGAAAUAACACCUGGACAUUUAAUAACUCAUCGGCUUGACUGAAACGAACGGUGUGAUGCGUUACAAUGGGCGGUUCGCCUAUAUCGGCGUUGAAAAUGUAACAAUUUUCGGCUAUGCAAUCGCGUACGAUCAGUUCGCACUCGUUUACUCGGAAUAUCGGUUACCGCACGUGACACAAGCAGAGAAUAACUAAACCUGCAUCGAGUAUGAAUUAACGCUUCGUGAAAAGUCAUUGACUCACCCCACGGCGACCGCCACAUCGGUGCCGCCGCUUUUUCGCAAUCCUAUUAAUUAGUUCAUUAAUUAAUAUGCAUCGAUAAUAUGCAUUAAUACGUCUUUAUUAACCUUUGAGGAUGAAAAAAAUACAAACACCGUAAGAAAAGAUGUAGAAGCACAAAAGACUUUCAUUAUAACACGUUUUAUUUUUGUCACAUUUAAACAGUUUAAUUUGACAAAUUGAAUUCAAUUUAAUUCAAGAAUUAUUAAAUCGCCGAUAUGUUUUACUACUAGUGUCUGUCACUCUUUCUUCCAACAGCACCAUUCUCAGCAACAUUUUUAUACCAUUAAAUUUUAAGUGUAUCUUUAUGUAACACGUAAAAAAAACUGUCUUAAAGCCAAUUAUUCGACGAAAACUAGCGAUCAAUUUUUCACUCGCGUUUCAUUAUGCCGAGCCAUCGUACCAUCGGUGUGUAUCGUUAAUGCCAUAAUUUUCUCGCAACAAUGAUAUCGGGCGGGCUGAGGGAACUACUUCCUCGAAAAUUAGCAGCGGAAGCGAGCGCGAACCCGGGGCCAACUUUAUAUCGAGUAACUCGGCCGAAAGUUAAACCGUGCCGCCGCGUAAUCGCUUUGGCGAAACGCUCCACGCCGCCGUAGGGCGAGCCCGCCGCACGAAUAUCCAGACGUCAUUUAAUCGGACAUUCCUCUCAAGGUUUCAGGGUCUCGCCGCGUCUCGUCAUGUAUCUCUUCCGCUUCGAGGCAUCACGUCACGAUAACCCACCGGUGCCAAGGCAACUGCGGCAAGCAGUUUCAUUCCGGGAUUACGGGUCGGGUGCCGCGGUCGUAGGCGACGUUACCUAUCUACCUAGCGGACGCUCGAUUCGCAGUCGCGAGACCUCAUAUUACAAGACGGGACAAGCAUCGUAAUGAGAGAUGCGAAUUACAGAAGGCUGAAAUUGCUCGGCGUGGCGUGUUAUACGUUGUUAUACGAGCGAGAUACUACGUGUAAUAUUUGGAUGUAAGGAAAUCGACAACCGUUCUCUUAUAAACUUUGUUCAAGUGUUGCGAAAGGUGAAGGUACACUUAUACGUUCACUACGAGCGAGACGAUAGAGAAGAACUGAACGUUGCUUGAGAACUUUACUUCCAUAAAAGAGGUAGAACAUUUUGUAAAAGAAAAAUCAAUAACAUGAGCGUUUUAAUACUGGAAGUAUUUAUUGACGUAGUUUCUUACCAAAAAAAAGGAAGAAAAAACGCAAGGACAGAUAGGCGACGCAUAAAUUUGUUUGAAUAGGACUAAUAACUGACUGAAUAUAGGAUUAAUACUGACUAAUAUUUGAAAUUUAGAAAAGUGUUUCUAUGAUAGAGAUGAGUCAUAAAGGAUCAAGAUUUAUUAAGGUAGAUUUUAGAUAGGGUAGGUUUUUUAGAUUAUUAGUUUAGAUUUUAGAUAGUUUGUAGAGAAACGGUUUGCAUAGGAUUUAAGAAUAGAAAGACUCUAAGAAAAAUGUGUCUUAUUAUUAGAGACACUUUUCUAAAUUUUCAAUCUAUAUACAGACAAUGGUAGUAAGAUAAAAGCUAUUUGAGGAGAAAAAUGUUUUUCUUAGUAUUGAGCAGUUCGAUAUAACUACAAAAAGAAACCUUUAAUUAAGAUAUAAGUAUUUUUUUGCUAUCAAGAAUCACUGUCUUACGGUUUAUUACACUGCGACUGAUAAUUUUGGACAAUGAAGUGAAACGCGUGCGUAAGAAUUUUUUUCUUUCGCAUCCUGUGUACGUUUGUGCUAAUUUCUUUUUAGUCCAACAUAAAUGUUAUAAACUAAGAAAGAAUUUGCAGGUAUAAGUGCAAAACUUUGCAUCUAUGUUAAUAUAAUAUUUCACGUCAACCGAUUCUACAUGUCAUACGAUUAUCUCAUAUAUAUGUAUACACCAAUCAGAGAGAGCUAUAAAAUAUUACUUUAGAUGUUUAGAGAAUAUAACCUAAGGAAUAAAAAAAGUUGCCAUUUACGUUUAAAUCAUAUUCCUUUUUUAAAUAAGUUCACUGUUACCCUUGAAACAUAACUGACACAUUUGAAACAUUAACUGUGAAACACAUUGAUUUCAUUUUUUUUCAUUUUUAGACAGUUACGUCCAUUGAAUGUAUAUCAAUCUACUUUUCAGAUGAAUCCGUUUUCUGAUACGCUAUGUUUUUGAAAGUUGAAAGCAUAAAUACAGUACGAUGUACAGUUACAAUGCGGUAAUCUGAUUAGCGUUCGAGGAAGAGUCGAUCACGGGAAUUAUUUGUGUUUAUUAUAUCCAUAAAUAAGCGUGAAGCAUGACGAAGAGGAUAGAUGUACCGUGACAUAACAACGUAUCUUCUAUCGAGAGAUAAAAAAAUGAACGCAGAAUAACUUUUUCACCAUGUGUCCUAUCUCAAGUAAAUAAUUUGUUAUUACGUAAUUUUUAUUAUUUCCAUGUAUACCCUUCACUGAGAGUAACAGUAAAAAUUAUUCAUACACGGAAAGGACAAUUUUAUUGCAAAAUAUAAAAAUUUAUCUAGAUAUAAUUAUACAAUUUUUUUUAAUAGUCCAACAUAAUUAUUUUCAGAUUUGUAUUUCAGUAAAAUCAUCUCUUCCACGUAUGAAAUUAAAACAAUAAGAAAGAAUAUCAAUAAAUAUUGGAACACGGCUCUAAUCUCGCAUGUAAAAAGAAAAAGAACAUAAAAUUUAAACAUCUCUUUAUCAAAUCUUUUAAAAUAAAAAAUAAAAAAUAAUCACACUCUAAAAAAAAACUAGGUCGUUUUGCCUAUAGCGUCGUAAUUAUUCUGGCUAAAUAACCAUUAAGCUCUUUCAGCCGUGUUGCGCCAUCGAUACCGUAAAUUCGUGCCGCCUCAGGUUGUCUUGCAGUCAACUUGCAAAAGGUUGAAAUCAACUUGCCAGUCGAUAACCUAUAAUUGAAUACGUAGGCGCCGCAAAAAGUGUAAUCAAAGCGCGACGGUGCCGCUUGCACUCUCGUAAGACGAAACAGGUUUCUUCGAAUACUGUCACGGAGAAAUGACGGAGCAGGCGAGAUCGUUAUGAUCGUCUUUGCGAUCUGUCCGCAUUCUUUCUUUCCAUAGUUCUUAUUAAAUUGAUGGAAUAUCGAAGUAAGCAUCUAUCUGACAUUUAAUAUUUAAAAAAAAGCAUACUUUCUAUGCACUUCGGGAAAUAAUAAUAUCAAAUAAACGAAUCAAGGAUUCAAUCGAAGACUUGCAUAAAAUAGUCUUUUUAUAUUUAUAACAAAUUAGAUAUUAUAUAAUUUAAAUAAUAACACGAAUUAUAAAUAUCCUGUGUAUGCAAGUGAUGAUAUUGAAUGAUCAAGAAUUCCAUCAAAUAAUUACGAGAAACGUAUAGUCUUUUUAUUAUUACUUUAUAUAUUUUAUUACAAAUUAUCUAAUUUAAAUAAUAACACAAAUUAAAUACUCUUACUGAAAGUAUAAAAAAAUUUAUCAUCUUAACGACUUAAAAUAAAUCGCAAGAAAAAGUUUCAAACUUGAACUAUCGCGGAUGAUUUGAGCAGUUUCACUACAUCUUAUCGAAUCGACACCGGAUGAGUGAUCAUUAUAUCGACAAUAUCUUUCCUGGUCAUUUCAUUGUAUUACGAAACUUCAACAAUAGAUCACUCGAGCGGAUCAGAUAGCAAAAGAACAAAAUGAUAAGAUAGUUAAUUAAUUCGAAUCGAUUAAGUAUCUGGUUCUUUCAGAUAAUUGACAUCAAGUAUAAUCGAUGUAGUUGAUUUACCUCUUUUUAUUUUUGGAGGGUGGAAAAGCGAUAUAUUUAUCGAACUCCAAUAUUAUUAGAACCACAAAUUUAUCUCCAAUGGUCAAAUAUUUGCGACAUAUAAUUGUAAAUAAAUAUUAAAAAUAUAUAUAUAUGAUAUAUAUGUAUUUUAUUAUAAAUAAUUAAGGUAAACUUUUUAUAGUGAUUCGUCAUGUAUCUAUGUUACUUAAAAAUUUAUAAAAAUUUAUUAAUAUCAAAUACUUUUUCUACGUAAGUUUUUGUGUCUACAUAUAAAUAUAGUUGCGAUCACCAGGAUAUUUUUACUUUAUCAAGAUUUUGUCAUUUGAAAACCAAAUUUGAAGAGAUCUUUUUUUUGUCAUUUUUAAUUAUACUGUUGAACAUUUUUGCAUAUGUCGCUUUUUAGUUGUUUAAUAGAUAAGUAUUCCCGAAAAUGAAAACGUCGUAACUAACUACGGAAAUAUGUUUGUGGAUGACCCAACGGAGUCAUUGGCAGUGCUGUUUCUGUGAGUAUUACAAAUGCAAUAAAGUUUGACGAGAUGCCACUUCGUCGAAAAUUUAUUUGUAUUUUCCAUGGAAGAGUCGGAAUUAACGAAUUCCAGGAAUAACUGACGCGCGGCAACACAACAAGCGCAUAAUACAAAAUGUACUAUGUAACACGCGAUGUACUUUGCACAAACGUAUUUAGAAUUUCCCCGAAGCCCUGAUGAAGUCGAUAUAACACAUCUUUCACGUGAAAGUCAUGUGAUUUAUUCGGUCAUUUUACACCGAUUUCAUCGCAUGAUACUUCUAUCGUUGUGUAUUAUGUCUCUCUAUCACUUAAUAUUUUUAUCAUCAGAAAGUAAACA
Monomorium pharaonis (pharaoh ant) is the source of this 7716-nucleotide long non-coding RNA. RefSeq lists it as uncharacterized. The transcript has 2 exons. The record is from RefSeq and is a predicted model, not a curated record. Lineage: Eukaryota; Metazoa; Arthropoda; Insecta; Hymenoptera; Formicidae.